Molecule: antisense RNA, 75 nt
Filed under: Streptomyces sp. XY431
Lineage: Bacteria; Bacillati; Actinomycetota; Actinomycetes; Kitasatosporales; Streptomycetaceae
Description: ASpks sRNA
Rfam family: ASpks TB sRNA
Source: RNAcentral
CUUCAACGAGCCGAGCAGCAGGGGCUGUUCGGCGGGACGCUGGCGGCCGUAGGUGGCCAGGAUGGCCUGGGCCUC